CGUGUCAUUCAUUCAACAACACUCUCUCUCUCUCAACCGUCUCGGCUUCUCUCUUUCUCCCGAGGCAAAACGGUGAUCUCUCUCAACCGUCUCAGACUCGUUGACUGCAUCAGGCAGAGUCGGUGGAAUCGUCGUCUCUCUCUCUAACCUCGACGACUCUGCGUCUCCCUCGCAUUCAGCCUCGAAGAUUCCGCCUCCAAUUGAUUAUUGAAUCGAAAACCAUCCAAUUGAUUAUUGAAUCAAUUAUUAGUAAAGGAAUCAAUUUUGUCAUGUUUUGACAGGAAGGAUGAAUGGUUCUCGUAAGCAAUCAAUCGUCUACACUGUUCGAGAUUACCAACCGCUAGAAGAAAGCAGCGUCGCUUGUUCUGCCUCGACGACGGACGAAGCAAGAAGCUUAACGAUGCGGCACGGAUUGAUCGGCCGAUGUUGAAAUGUCCAGUUUGCUCCUGCAGCUGGUGUUCGUCAGUACGAUUGGAGCAGGAAAUAGAUUGUUCUCAUUGUCAGUUACAUAGAUUGGUAAUUUAGUUAGCCUUGGGCCGAGAGAGUCAUGCGAGGUCUUCCAUGAUCCUGACAAGGGAAAAGGUAGUGAUGAAGGUAAAGUGAGGAAAGUGCUGAAAGUUGAACCCCUUCCAGAUGGUUCUGGCCGCUUCUUUAACCUGAGUGUUCAAAACAAGCUGUUGAAUGUAGAUGAAGGUGUUCAAAACUAAAGUAGAGUUUGCUGUUCUUAUCUCUACUUUCAACGUGAGCCCUCUCUUUAUCUCUUUGUAAAUAAAACAUUUGCCUCUAUUUUAACCUUGUACAUUGUGUCGCAGUUCAUCUUGCCGCACCUUAUAGACUGGCAUGCAUUUGGGUACAUGUUUUGCUUAAAACAUUGUCCUGUAUAUAGUUUAAGAUUAACAGAGUUGAGUUGAGUACAUGUUUUGCUUAAUUUUUUAAGAACCCUAAAUUAAGAGACUUGCAAUGGAGUACAUAAAUUUUCAGGUCUCUUAAUCCAGUCUCUUAAUUCACUUUUGCAUUUUAAAAGUAUAAAAAAAUAAAUAAGAGACCCAUUUAGGGUAUGUGGGAUAAUGAUG
Raphanus sativus (radish) is the source of this 1073-nucleotide long non-coding RNA. RefSeq lists it as uncharacterized. NCBI's taxonomy places the organism in Eukaryota, Viridiplantae, Streptophyta, Magnoliopsida, Brassicales, Brassicaceae. The transcript has 4 exons. The record is from RefSeq and is a predicted model, not a curated record.